UGCGCAGGCGGUCUGUUAAGUCAGAGGUGAAAUAUAUCGGCUCAACCGGCAAAUGGCCCCUGAAACUGCCAGACUUGAGUCCGAGAGAGGUAGGUGGAAUUCCAGGUGUAGCGGUGAAAUGCGUAAAUAUCUGGAGGAACACCAGUGGCGAAGGCGGCCUACUGGCUCGGAACUGACGCUCAGGCACGAAAGCUAGGGGAGCGAACAGGAUUAGAUACCCUGGUAGUCC
This 229-nucleotide ribosomal RNA is filed under the name uncultured bacterium. Its description in RNAcentral is "partial 16S ribosomal RNA". It matches the Rfam family "Bacterial small subunit ribosomal RNA", at positions 568 to 796 of the family's 1533-position model. The record is from RNAcentral.